GAUGAACGCUAGCGGCAGGCUUAAUACAUGCAAGUCGAGGGGCAGCACGGUUAGCAAUGACUGGUGGCGACCGGCGCACGGGUGCGUAACACGUAUACAAUCUACCUUAAACAGGGGGAUAGCCUUUCGAAAGAGAGAUUAAUACCCCGUAAUAAAUUGAACGGCAUCGUUUGAUUUUGAAAGCUCCGGCGGUUUGAGAUGAGUAUGCGUCUGAUUAGCUAGUUGGUGAGGUAACGGCUCACCAAGGCGACGAUCAGUAGGGGAUCUGAGAGGACUAACCCCCACACUGGUACUGAGACACGGACCAGACUCCUACGGGAGGCAGCAGUAAGGAAUAUUGGUCAAUGGAGGCAACUCUGAACCAGCCAUGCCGCUGCAGGAUGACGGCCCCUAUGGGUUGUAAACUGCUUUUAUACAAGAGAAAACCCUGGUACGUGUACCAGGUUGAUAGUAUUGUAAGAAUAAGCAUCGGCUAAC
Molecule: ribosomal RNA, 477 nt
Filed under: uncultured bacterium
Lineage: Bacteria
Description: bacterial SSU rRNA
Rfam family: Bacterial small subunit ribosomal RNA
Source: RNAcentral